AGGAUCAUUACAGAGUUGGGGUCUUUCAGGCCCGAUCUCCAACCCUAUGUGUACUCACCCUCGUUGCUUUGGCGGGCCCGGUCGGGGUGACCCACCCGGUGGCCUUUGGCUUCACAGUGCCCGUCAGAGACCUAUUCAAAACCUGUUAAUUGUGUCGUCUGGGUAUCAAUGCAAUAAUUAAAACUUUCAACAACGGAUCUCUUGGUUCUGGCAUCGAUGAAGAACGCAGCGAAAUGCGAUAAGUAAUGUGAAUUGCAGAAUUCAGUGAAUCAUCGAAUCUUUGAACGCACAUUGCGCCUCUCGGUAUUCCGGGAGGCAUGCCUGUUCGAGCGUCAUUUCACCACUCAAGCCAUGCUUGACGUUGGGUCGUCGUCCCCUUGGGGCGUGCCCGAAAACCAGUGGCGGGCACAGUCCGGCUUCAAGCGGUAUCAAUUUGUCCUCGCUUUGGAAGUUUUGGACCUGGGCUUGCCAGACAACCCCCCCUUUUUAUCAAGGUUGACCUCGGAUCAGGUAGGGAUACCCGCUGAACUUAAGCAUAUCAAUAAGCGGAGGAAAAGAAACCAACAGGGAUUGCCUCAGUAACGGCGAGUGAAGCGGCAACAGCUCAAAUUUGAAAUCUGGCCCUUUCGGGGUCCGAGUUGUAAUUUGCAGAGGAUGCUUCGGGUUCAGCUCCGGUCUAAGUUCUUUGGAACAGGACGUCAUAGAGGGUGAGAAUCCCGUAUGUGACCGGUCGCCACGCCCGUGUGAAGCUCCUUCGACGAGUCGAGUUGUUUGGGAAUGCAGCUCAAAAUGGGUGGUAAAUUUCAUCUAAAGCUAAAUAUUGGCCAGAGACCGAUAGCGCACAAGUAGAGUGAUCGAAAGAUGAAAAGCACUUUGGAAAGAGAGUCAAACAGUACGUGAAAUUGUUGAAAGGGAAGCGCUUGCAACCAGACUUGCCCGCAGGCGAUCAGCCGGUAUUCUUACCGGUGCACUCGCCUGCGGUCAGGCCAGCAUCGGUUCGGGUGGCUGGAUAAAGUCCACUGGAAUGUAGCUCCCCUCGGGGAGUGUUAUAGCCAGAGGUGCCAUGCAGCCCGCCCGGACCGAGGACCGCGCU
RNAcentral lists this small RNA (1093 nucleotides) under Acarospora nodulosa. RNAcentral describes it as "eukaryotic LSU rRNA". The stretch from base 497 to 1093 matches the Rfam family "Eukaryotic large subunit ribosomal RNA", at positions 1 to 601 of the family's 3401-position model. The record is from RNAcentral. Lineage: Eukaryota; Fungi; Ascomycota; Lecanoromycetes; Acarosporales; Acarosporaceae.